GACGAACGCUGGCGGCGUGCCUAAUACAUGCAAGUCGAACGCAGUGGGGACGGGUGAGUAACACGUGGGUAACCUCCCAUCAGAGGGGAUAACACUUGGAAACAGGUGCUAAACCGACACUGAUGUAUCUACCCGCGGUGCAUUAGCUAGUUGGUGGGGUAACGGCUCACCAAGGCUACGAUGCAUAGCCGACCUGAGAGGGUGAUCGGCCACACUGGGACUGAGACACGGCCCAGACUCCUACGGGAGGCAGCAGUAGGGAAUCUUCGGCAAUGGACGAAAGUCUGACCGAGCAACGCCGCGUGAGUGAUGAAGGUCUUCGGAUCGUAAAACACUGUUAGUAGGGAAGCGGUACCUAAACAGAAAGCAACGGCUAACUACGUGCCAGCAGCCGCGGUAAUUC
Molecule: ribosomal RNA, 403 nt
Filed under: uncultured bacterium
Lineage: Bacteria
Description: partial 16S ribosomal RNA
Rfam family: Bacterial small subunit ribosomal RNA
Source: RNAcentral